GAGGGCAUAGCUCAGUGGUAGAGCGCGUGCUUAGCACACACGGGGUCCUGGGUUCAAUCCCCAGUACCUCCA
This 72-nucleotide transfer RNA is filed under the name Camelus bactrianus (Bactrian camel). It matches the Rfam family "tRNA". From Rfam's summary of the family: Transfer RNA (tRNA) molecules are approximately 80 nucleotides in length. RNAcentral also lists the same sequence under 2 other names. Lineage: Eukaryota; Metazoa; Chordata; Mammalia; Artiodactyla; Camelidae. The record is from Rfam by way of RNAcentral.